CAGACACUAGAUGCCAUAACCCAUCUCUUUUUGUAUUUUAGGUUGGGCUUCCCGAUGAUGGUGGUGUCCUGCACUGUCGGGAUGUGUUAUCUCCUUGUUGCUCAUGUUGUAGUGGGAUGGAAUGAAUAGAUAUCCAUCAAUGGAAGAUUAAGGGAUACCUGGUCCAUCACCAACAUCUGUCAUAAAACUACCCCAGGACCACUCUUUGGAGAAGAAAAGGUGCUUAUUCCGGGAUGGUGCUGCAUGGAGAUGCGCUGGAACAGACCUUUGGCAUUCACAAACACACUCUUGAUUGAAUGAAUGCUGGAAAAUCAUGGUGUUCUCUUUAUGCCAUUUCUCCCUGAGAUGGGGUUGGCAGGGGGACAAAAGUAUAGGCAAUACAAGAUAACUUACCCAAGUGUCCCCUACUGGAAAAUAUGUAUGUUACAAAAACACUUCUUGCUAUCCUGUGUAGAAAAAGACACAAAUCCACUCAAAAUAGCUUGUGCUAUUUAAUUGUCACUUCUCCUGAAACUAAAGACAGUUUUUCUUUAUGUAUUCAAUUUUCAUGUUAAAAUAAUCAGCAUUCAAAUGGUGUGCCCCUGAAUAUAGAUUCUUUCUGGGAAAAAAGCAUACCACUUGUAAG
RNAcentral lists this long non-coding RNA (625 nucleotides) under Marmota monax (woodchuck). Lineage: Eukaryota; Metazoa; Chordata; Mammalia; Rodentia; Sciuridae. The record is from RNAcentral.